This 292-nucleotide unclassified non-coding RNA is filed under the name plant metagenome. RNAcentral's name for it is "partial contains small subunit ribosomal RNA, internal transcribed spacer 1, and 5.8S ribosomal RNA". The record is from RNAcentral.
UUUCCGUAGGUGAACCUGCGGAAGGAUCAUUAUAGAAUAAACCUGAUGUGGUUGUAGCUGGCCCUUUCGGGAGCAUGUGCACACCCGUCGUCUUUAUCUUUCCACCUGUGCACCUUUUGUAGACCUGGAUGUAACACUUUCCGAGGCAACUCGGUCGGGAGGAAUGCUGUCAGCUUUCCUUGAAUGUCCAGGCCUAUGUUUUCAUAUACCCCAAAGAAUGUAACAGAAUGUAUUAUUGGGCCUUGUGCCUAUAAACUAUAUACAACUUUCAGCAACGGAUCUCUUGGCUCUC